Molecule: ribosomal RNA, 440 nt
Filed under: uncultured bacterium
Lineage: Bacteria
Description: partial 16S ribosomal RNA
Rfam family: Bacterial small subunit ribosomal RNA
Source: RNAcentral
CCUACGGGAGGCAGCAGUGGGGAAUUUUGCACAAUGGGGGAAACCCUGAUGCAGCGACGCCGCGUGAGUGAAGAAGUAUUUCGGUAUGUAAAGCUCUAUUAGCAGGGAAGAAAAUGACGGUACGUGACUAAGAAGCCACGGCUAACUACGUGCCAGCAGCCGCGGUAAUACGUAGGGGGCAAGCGUUAUCCGGAUUUACUGGGGGUAAAGGGAGCGUAGGCAGUAGCACAGGUCUGGAGUGAAAUGCGGGGGCUUAACCUCGGAACUGCUUCGGAAACUGUGCAGCUAGAGUGCAGGAGAGGUAAGUGGAAUUCCUGGUGUAGCGGUGAAAUGCGUAGAUAUAAGGAAGAACACCAGUGGCGAAGGCGGCUGACUGGACUGUAACUGACGUUGAGGCUCGAAAGCGUGGGGAGCAAACAGGAUUAGAUACCCGGGUAGUC